CCAGCCGGAGAUGUGAAGGACUUGGAGAACACAUCUUUUCUUCACCGGCGCCGAUCUAGAAUUGCCUCCGCCGUCAUCAUCGAUUACCGCUGCCUCGGUGAGCCAUUGUUCGAUUCCUUGCGCAUACACCAUCUCCUUGACCUCACAACCCUCGUGCAUGCUUGCUUGAAGCAGCUCAUUGUCCCGUUCGAGCCGUCGUCGUUCACCCGAGGAGGAGCGCCGUCGCCGAGCCGUUCCACAAGUCACCGCUGCCGCCAAGACCUCGACAACCCUAGCUCGACCCACGGUGAGCAUCCUGAAGUCUAGAAGACCACAUGCAUGCAUCCUUUUCGUUCGGAAUCGACUUCCAUGCACACAUGCACUUUCACCCCAAGAACCACCGCCGCUCACACUCGCCAUCGGCGCUACUCCGAUGUCCUCUAACCAAGAAAACUAGAGGAAUGGAAUCGCGAGAGCUUGCUCUUCAUUUUAUCUCUUGACCUCAACCUCAAACGAGCCACCGUUUGCCGCCGGCGAGCUCGAGAUCGAGCUCAGCCAUGGCUAGCUCUGCUCUGUCUAGAGCAGAGGGAUGACUUCCGUGAAUUAGAUUAAGUGCAGGGAUCCGUUUACAAUUGUAGAAACACACUGACAUAUGGGCCUAGGACUGCGGGUUGAUUCCUAGAAACCUCAAGGGCCUUUGUGCAUAUUGGUCCCUCACAGCCAUGUGGACCCCAUCCUUUAAAAUCUGAAGAAUAAUUAAGAAAAUGCCCAAACAAAUAUAUGUUUAGCAGAAAAAUGCACAAAGUUGUAAAAUCUAUAUAAAAUCAAAUAUAGCUCAUUUUAAAGUGAUUACAGUUGCUGUAGAUUCUUGAAGUUAUGAACUUUAUUCCAGGAAUAUAAAACUUGACACUCACUGUACAAAUAAUGUCUCUAAAAUUUAUCUAAGAUAGGUCAUACAUAAAACAUGUACAAACUUAUAAAAUACAUAGAAAAUUCAUCUCAACUCAUUUUGAAACAAACUCAAAAACUGCAGAUUCAUCAUCAUGCAUGCACUCUCUGAUUAGGUGAAAUAAAAGUAAUUACUUACUUUGCAUCAAAUUCCUCUAAAACUAUUAUAUCUAAAAUGAUUAGUUUUAGAUAAGCUAAACUUUAGAAAUUCAUGUAGAACCCAAUUUAGCUUCAAUUUGAAUAAACUUAAGUUCUGUAGGAUCACCAAAACAUGUAUUUCCAUGUUAUGAAAUAAGAUUAUAUACUUACUGUGUAGUAAAAGUCUCUAAAUAUUCAUAUAAGGAUUUACUAACAUAGAGCAGCCUUUAAUUUGUAAAACUUGUAGAAAAUUCAUUUUUAGUCCAAAUGAAAUGAACAAAGUUUCCAUAGAACCAGCAAAUAGUUAUCUUCAACAUAGUAAAAUAAAAUUUGGCACCUUUUGUAGAGAACAUAGAUCAAAACCUUAACUUAGUGAAAUAAGAAUUUAAACACAUAGUGUUGUUUAAGUAAUACAUAAACAUGUAUAAGUAUAUAUACACUUUAGGUCUAAUUAAACCUAAAUAAAAACUUGAUUGACCAGUGAAGCCAUAGUUCCAUCCUCAUCCACUAAAACUUAGAAGAACUUAGCUCAUAUGACAAUUUCUAGGUUAAUAUAAUAUAUUGCUAGUUUAGAUUAGAGCAUCUCUAGUUUAUAAAAUAUGAACCAUAGUAGUAAAGACCAUAAACAUGUGAAAUAAAAAUGUUUUAGUUAACCAAAUUAUUCCUUUUAUUCAACUUAAACAGGAAGUAGCAUGUUCUGAACCUAUAACUCAAAAGUCAUGAACAUAUAAAACACUAUAUGCCUAAAACACGUUGUAACUUGUAAAAUCUAUAAGAAAAUCAUUAUAACUCCAAAAAUUGUGAAACCAAAUGUGUUAGUCUUAGAAAACACAUCUCCACACCCCUGUGAAGUCUAAUAUAAUAAAAAUCACUUUACAAAAGUAUUUUAUAACACUACCUAAGACUAUACUACUAUAAACCGAUAAAACUUCUAAAAUUCAUAACUCCCAAAUGGAAUAAAAUAAAAUAGGAAUUAUUUCACCUAAAGUCAUUUUAGAUCAGUACCAACCCACUGUGCAUAAAUCAUGCAUUUUAGAGCAUUUUGGAUUUUCAGCUCUUUCGGUAUUUAAUUGCAUAUCGUGUCCUUUAUCUAGAUAAUUGCAUAAUCGGUGAAGAAGUGGAUUAGGUGCUAACAUUUAUCUGAUCAAGGCAAGUUUUCUCCUCCCAUCCUUUGAACGCAUUGAAUCCCAUGAUUUGAGGAAUGAAAAUAUUUGUUUGCAAAGUUGCAUGUGAACUUAAACUAUAUUGGUAUUUAAAAUUGGGUUAAGGUAGUUAUGACCUAUUUGCUGCAUUCCCUACCUUGAAUAAUUGAGCCUCUUGCAGCUUGAACCCCUAGAAAUGGUUACAGUACACUCUUUGUGCUCAAAUUGGUUUAUAUAUGCUCUAUGUGCAACUACUUGCUUAGCCAUGCUUAGAAAUAUGCAAAUGCUCAUUCCAUCUAUAAUUAAAAUGUGAUUUUCAUAUGUGAACCUUUGCUGGAAUAAAAUGAAUAUGAUGGGUAUUUGCGAACUAAAAUAUGUAAAAUGUGAUUUUAUACUUGGGCGGCAAGUGGUGUGCAUAUGGUGUUAGUUGCAUACCGAUAGGGGGAGUGUUUGCCCAAGUCCAUAAGGACAGAACUUGUGUUACCCAUUUAAAGUUAUUCGUACAUCCACAUGUGCUAGUAUGGGAUGGCCUAAGCUGAUUAAUCUAUUUAGGAAUAGCCUUGCAUUCUGGUAGGCCGGUGUGUAUGAGUUCGUAUAAUUCAGAGGAGCUUCCUAUUUACCCCGACGUGGUAGUUUAGGUGACUAAGCGUGUCCAAUAUAACGGUAUUGUGCCACGUGGUGGGUUCCCGUCGUGUCCGCCACCACGGCGUUAAGUUUAAGGUGUGGGCCCGCCACUUAACGGUUCUAGGUAUAUUCCAAGUAUGCCUAGGAUGGAGGAACACGUAUCGUGCUGGUGCAAGGCUAGGCUCUAAGUAGUGUAAAGGCUUCGUUAUGGCCUCUAGAUCACAUUCAACAUGAAGAGUGUGGUGGAGUCUUGCAAACUCAAAACAAACUAGAGAGUUCAUAUCAUGUGGGUAAAGCUGUACAAACUCUGCAGAGUUCUUUAAACUAAUUGAUUAGCCAUGCUCACGGUCAUGAGCGCUUUGGUGAUGUGUCAUGAGUAUAGACUAUGUUUUAAAAAUGUGAUCAUGUGACAUUGGUUUGAAAUUGAUAAAUGUGUUGAGUUGUGUGUGUGGUGAUACAUUAUGACUUAUUGUUAAGUAUGGCAAUAAGAGAUUGAUUAUGAUGGAAUUAUGAAGAAGUUAAUAAUGAAACUUAAAACUUGUCUUUGUUAAUUGAAGCAUCAACUCCUUUACAAAAGAAUUGCGAAACAAAACUUGCUUUAUGCUGAAAUUGAACUACAUAUUUCCUUCCUUUGAAUAUAUGCCUUACAUGUAGUAUGGUAGGAUUGACUUGUGCUUGCUAGUACAUUAACUUGUUUAAUGUACUGACUCUUGCUGUUGAUAUAACCUUUUGUUUGCAGGUUUAGACUUAGUCUUUGAGUGAUGCGGGUUUCGAUUGCUUCUUCUAGGAUGAGAACUUAAUGGGGUAAACCCUUAGUCGGUGUGCUUGUGAUUGGGUAGUCAAGCUUCCGCUGUUCUCUAAUAAGUCUAUUUGGCCGGUCGGCCUAUCUAAUUAUUAAGUUGUUGUAUGUCUUAAGUUUCUUUCAUCUUAGUUGUGUUUGCUAUGUAUAAUCAUGCUUAAGAUGAAAGUGUUAAUCUAGUGCACAUCAUCCUGGGAACUAGAUUUACAUGAGUAUGAGUUAGGAAUAUUUGAGAGGUUGUAGAUCUUUAGUCAUUUUUGUCAAGUCUUCUGAAUGUGUAACACAUCUGGUCGCCGCCUUCGAGUGGUUUGACGGGCACAUAUCAGGCUGAAGUUGACUGGCAGGCUAAGGGCUCAGCAAUGUCUCCAAUAUUUCUCUCUCGAGGCGUCGGAUGUUUCAUUAUGCUUGUUUGAUGACUUGAAUUAUUCACUUCAUCUCUCAAAUAUCUCUCAAAUAUAAUGAAGGUCCGGAGAGCCUACGACAGCAUUUAUUAUAAGCACAAGAAAAACAUUGGUGUUC
This 4149-nucleotide long non-coding RNA is filed under the name Oryza sativa (Asian cultivated rice). RNAcentral's name for it is "long non-coding RNA (OSAT_LNC001729)". Lineage: Eukaryota; Viridiplantae; Streptophyta; Magnoliopsida; Poales; Poaceae. The record is from RNAcentral.